GGAGCGACUGGACCCCAGGCACCCCGGCUUGGACGUACCAUGCUUGCUGGGGUUCUGAUCGAGGGGAGAAGCAGCACCGGCUAAAGGCACGUGCUGCCGUUAUGUGGCAACACCGUGUCAGGUUACUAAAGAGGGGCGAGGAGGACGAUACAGAGUCCCCGGUGGGGACUGAACGCUCAGUGAUGGAGAAUAACCCCAGGAUUCACAGACCAUACAUCCUGAACAGACUUUGUGUGUUCCACCCUUGAAGAAUUUAGAGAAUCGUCACUCAAACGAGUUUCUGUGUUCUGUGGUUCUGACGGGAAACUCUGGAUGAGAAAGGCUAGCUGAGACCCUGAGCCGAAGGACACGCCUCCUGGUUCAACAUUUUGACUGAUUUUCACGGGAUGCUGUUCUCCCCCUCCUUUUGAAGGCACACCCAUCCGGAGAGGGGACAUCACUACAUGACAAUCCUGAAGGGGCUGAACUGGUGCCUGGACACGUGGAACCACCCCAGGGGCUUCCAACAGACACCUGCAUGCUCUCUGAAGUGGCCGAGCUGGGCCGACUAGACACGGGUGCCUGCACCCAACCACUUCUAGUUUCUUUUUCUCAGAUUAAACAUGUAACACAUCAUUUCCAAUGCCUUAUAAAAUAAGACAGUAAAACAGAAACUUGAUGACCCUUGUUACUGGACAAACUGAAGCAGAUAAGCCAGCCAAGUUCACCCACUAAAAUGAAAAUCAGUUUUCAAUUUCGGUACUUUUUAACCCUAGCUACAUCGUAUGAAAUGUAACAGUAACAUUAUUUCUUCUGAGUUAAACGGUCACAUAUAUUUUUAAAAAGUGGGUAAAAGUCACUUAAAUAUUACACACAAUCCGGCAAGUAUUUAAUCCAGCUUGCAUUAAGGACAUAGUUAAAAUGAAAAAUACCUCUUUUUAAAAAUGAACAAACA
This is a long non-coding RNA of Zalophus californianus (California sea lion), 934 nucleotides long. RefSeq lists it as uncharacterized. The transcript is spliced from 4 exons. The record is from RefSeq and is a predicted model, not a curated record. Lineage: Eukaryota; Metazoa; Chordata; Mammalia; Carnivora; Otariidae.